GCCUGGGUGGCUCAGUGGUUGAGCGUCUGCCUUUAGCGCAGAUUGUGAUCCUAGAUCCUGGGAUCCAGUUCCACAUCAGGCU
RNAcentral lists this transfer RNA (82 nucleotides) under Canis lupus familiaris (dog). It matches the Rfam family "tRNA". Rfam says of the family: Transfer RNA (tRNA) molecules are approximately 80 nucleotides in length. Their secondary structure includes four short double-helical elements and three loops (D, anti-codon, and T loops). Further hydrogen bonds mediate the characteristic L-shaped molecular structure. tRNAs have two regions of fundamental functional importance: the anti-codon, which is responsible for specific mRNA codon recognition, and the 3' end, to which the tRNAs corresponding amino acid is attached (by aminoacyl-tRNA synthetases). tRNAs cope with the degeneracy of the genetic code in two manners: having more than one tRNA (with a specific anti-codon) for a particular amino acid; and 'wobble' base-pairing, i.e. permitting non-standard base-pairing at the 3rd anti-codon position. The record is from Rfam by way of RNAcentral. Lineage: Eukaryota; Metazoa; Chordata; Mammalia; Carnivora; Canidae.